RNAcentral lists this long non-coding RNA (4295 nucleotides) under Callithrix jacchus (white-tufted-ear marmoset). RNAcentral describes it as "lncRNA (ENSCJAG00000076720.1)". The record is from RNAcentral. Lineage: Eukaryota; Metazoa; Chordata; Mammalia; Primates; Cebidae.
CUCAAAAUAAAAAGGAGGAAAUUCUAAAUUCUUAGAAUUAUUAGAAUAAUAAUGCAGGUUAAAAUUAUUUCAGUAUCUGGAAUAUAUAACAGUUUUGGUAUAACACCAGUGAUAAAAAUUUGUGGAGUGUUCUGUGUGGACCAAAAAUCCGAAAGUGAUAAAGUAACAAUAAUAUUUGAAUAAUCUGGAGAUAUGAUGUGUAUUUGGUAUUCAUCUUUUUCUAUUUUUCGAUGAAAAGAAAAUGGAUAGAUGAGAUCUUCAUGUGAAAUGGGACACAGAAUUUUUAAGAUGAUUCUCAAAGAAAGUUGCUAACACAGUUACUCACUUGAUGUCCCGACACAGGGCUGUGCAGGGGAUGGUUGCUGCUGAUGGUCACUGGCAGCCGCAGGGUGGGUUUUCUGGCCACUAUUUUGUCCAUGAGUGACAUUGGGCUGUCGUGUAUUACAUGCAGGUGAGUUUCUAAAGUUUAGAUGAGGAGAGAAACGUAAGAACACAGAAGAUGGGAAAAUUAAAGAUCCCACUGCCUCAACCACAUUCCACUGAGGAGAACUUGUCACUGAGAUCAGGAUAUGCAGGGAGUAGAGAGGAGUUUGGGGAAUAUUAAAGAACAGAUCCAACCUAGUUGAUCUCCCCAUGGAAGGAGGGUUUAAAUGUUUGUUCACAGAUAAUGGUGGCUGAUAUGAAGAUUCCCACAGAUUUCAGAAACGGUCUCCAUUAACAAAUGCCAUACUUCAUUUAGAAUUGACUGCCUUUGUGUAAUUUAUCUUCCCCCUUUAGGCAGCACCACAGAAGAAUGUUCUCAGAGUACUUCGUGAUCCUGUAUGAGUUCCUGGUGCAGGUCCUGGAGGAAAAGCCUGCAUGGGGGAGGGAGCCCUUCUCACGUGCAGCCCGGAGGCUGUCACGUCACCUCACCCACCACUGCCCUUCAGUCACUUCAUGAAUAUUUAUGAGUUAAUCUUCCUGAAACAUGGUAUUUGGCAGUGUCUUUCCCAGAUGAAGAAGAUGAGACUCAGAGCAAUACAUAAGUUGCCCAAGGUCAGAGAGCAAGUAAGUACCAGAAAUAAAAGCCAGAUAAAUCUAAUUCCCAUAUCCUUGCUCUUUCAAUGAUGUUUCAGAGUUGAUUACAAAAAGAACCGUUCUGUGUGCUCAGGAUAAUUUACUACCUACUAAAUUUAACCAUAGGGCAGUCUUAUAAACAGGGUAGAGUAUGCAGUUAAGAUAAAAUUUGAGAGGAAAAAAUUAAAUUAAAAUAGUACAUAACCAAUGAUCAGAAUAAUCUCUCAGUAUUUUAGAAAUUUAUGUAAGAAUAAACUAGAUACUGAUAAAAAAUUCACAUUCUUUAUGCACAAAUCUUGUAAGUAGCUACUGUUAAAGAGAGGAUAUUAUUUACCUAGAAGAAAGUGGGGUUGUCAACCACUAUAUAACCAUUCGUGGGGUGAAUGUCUUUUUUAUUUUAGGCCUCUGGCUGAUGGAUCCAAGAGGUAGAUACGUGAUGUCAAAAUAUUCUCUUUUAUAGGUAAUUACAAUUUACAAUGGAAGAUACAGAGGCCACAAGGUAGUAGAGUUGAGUUAUAUUAACAGAAAACCUUGUUAGAGAAAAGAACCACCUCUCACUAUUAUGUUCAAUGGCAAAGAUUAUUAGAAGGUACAGCAAAAUGGACACACAUGCGAGUAUACCCACAUUGAUAUUGGAAGUAACUUUUUUCUUAUAUACUAUAAAUCAUAUCCCAGAAUAUACUCAUAAUGUGUACACUUAUCGGGAUAUUACAAUCAAUGUACAAAAUAUGUACCAUAUGUACAUUGACUGAUGUACAUAUGUGUACACAAUACAGAUGUACAAAAAAUGUACAUAAUCUGUACAAUAUGUACAUUUAUAUGUACAUAAUGUGUACACAAUAGGUAUGUACAUAAUGUGUACAAUAUGUAAAUAUAUUGUAAUAUUACAAUGAUUUCAUAUAAUCACAACAGCAUAUAUAAUCACAAUACACAUAUAAUACAUAAUAUCAAUAUAAAUGUACAUAUUGCACACAUAUACAUUUACAUUUAUUGUGAUAUUACGAUAUGUACACAUGUACAUCAUGCACACGUGCAGAUUUGCGGUAUAUACACGUGUACAUAAGUGCACAGUAUGUACAUAUGUACACUACACAUAUGUUCAUAUGUAGAUAUGUACCUUCUGUACAGGAGUACACAGUAUGUACAAUAUGUACACGUAUAUACUCGGUACACAUAUAGGUGUAUACCCACUUUGGUAACCGGAGAGAUUUCUAUCUAAUAUACUAAAUAUAAAAUCCCAGAAUGUAGUCGUAGUGUGUACAUUUAUUGUCGUAUUGCGAUAAAUGUAUUAAAUAGGCACAAUCUGUACAUGUACUCUGCUGUACAUAGGUGUACACAAUGCACAUGUACAAAAAAUGUACAUAAUCUGUAAAAUAUGUACCUAUAUAUUUCUAUGUGUACACAAUGCAUAGGUACAUAAUGUGUGCAGUAUGCACAUUCCUUAAAAUAUCAGUGAUAAAAUAUAUAUAAUCACAGUAAGAUAUAUAAUCACACUAAUACAUAUAUAUCAUGUAAUAUCACCAAAAAGUACAUAUUGUACACAUUAGGUAUGUAUUAGGUACAUAUGUAUAGUGCACAUAUUAUGAAAAUAUAUAUGUAUCAUGAUAACACCAUAUGUACACGUAUACAAAUAUGUGCCUACUAUUUAAACAAUGUACACAUGCAGAAAUAGGUGCAAACUACAUACCUAUGCACAGCAGGCUAUUACUGCAGUUCUGCUCAUAGCAGCCUCAAUGCCCACCCUGGCUGCUUAAAGACCCCCUGGCUAGGGGGCUGUACCCACAGCCCCCGCCAGAGGGUCCAUAACAGCUACCAGGCCCACACUGGCUGCUUAGGGACCCCCUGCCUAGGGCGCUGUGCCCACAGCUGCUGGGGCCUGGCUAUUUUGAAAAUGUGGUGUAAUAUGAUACUGGCAACCAUAUCACACAGAAAUGAUAAUGUUAUUGUGGUUCUUUACAUAUUAGGCAAUAGUUCUAGUUACACAUUUGGCAUAUUGACAAAAAUGUCAUCCUCACCCCAUUGACAUUAGAAUUGAAAGCAUAGGAGGGUUUCACCCCUUGCAAUGUUUAAUUCAAUAUAAUUGUUUUCUUGUUUACAUUAGUGACCAUAUCAGAGCACGGUGUACACCUCUUGCAGUAUUCAGAGUAUUUCUCUAUGGGCAGCAACAUUUUUCUCUCCUUAUCUGGAUAUUAGAAAGAAUAUCACAGGACCGGCUUACAGCGCCAGUCACAUCGUGAGCAAUGUCAUCUGUAAUCCCCUCGUUAUUAAGAACAAUGUAACGGGGGUCUUGUGUGCUUUUGGAGAUAUUUUGAGUAAUAUCCUUUUAGUUUCUGGAUAUUAGAAACAACACUACAGUGGUGGUGUACACUUCCUGCGAUAUUAAGAGUAUACUCAUCCUUUGUCCCUGGGAUAUUAGGAACUACAUCACAGAAGCGUUGCACUUUGCCUAUAAUAUUGGAACAAUCACAGAGUGUACACCUUCUUUCAUUGUGAGAGAAAUACCUACUUAGGAUAUGAUGGAUAAUAUCACAAAAUGGACACACAUGGGUAUAUACCCACUGUGAUAUUGGAAGUCAUUUUUAUCUAAUAUACUAAAAGUCAUAACCCAGAAAAAACUCAUAAUGUGUACACUUAUUGAGAUAUUACACUCAAUGUACAGAAUAUGUAACAUAUGUACAUUGACUGUGAUGUACAUACAUGUACACAAUACAGAUGUACAAUAAAUGCACAUAAACUGUAUCGUUUGUACGAAUAUAUGUACAAAAUGUGCACACAAUGGGUAUGCACAUAAUGUGUACAAUAUGUACAUUUAUUGCAAUAUCACAAUGUUAUAUAAUCACAACUGCAUAUAAAAUCACAAUACACAUGUAAUAUGUAAUAUCAAUAUAAAUGUACAUAUUGCAAACAUUAUGUACAUUUACAUUUAUUGUGAGAUGAUAUGUAAACAUGUACAUCAUGUACCCAUUAUGUACAGAUGCACAAUAUAUGCAAGUGUACAUAUGUGGGUACAGUAUGUACAUAUGUACACUACACAUGUGUACAUAUAAUGUAGAUAUGUACCUUCUGUUCCCGAGUACAUUCUAUGCACAAUAUGUACACAUAUAAACUAUGUACACACCUGGGUGUACAACCACUUUGGUAACCGGAGAAAUUUCUAUCUAAUAUACAAAAUAUAAUAAUUCAGAAUGUAGUAAUAGUGUGUACAUUUAUUGGCAUAUUGCAAUAAAUGUAUAAAAUAG